AUUGAACGCUGGCGGCAUGCCUUACACAUGCAAGUCGAACGGCAGCACGGGGGCAACCCUGGUGGCGAGUGGCGAACGGGUGAGUAAUGCAUCGGAACGUGCCCAGUUGUGGGGGAUAACCAGUCGAAAGACUGGCUAAUACCGCAUACGACCUACGGGUGAAAGCGGGGGAUCGCAAGACCUCGCGCUAUUGGAGCGGCCGAUGUCUGAUUAGCUAGUUGGCGGGGUAAGAGCCCACCAAGGCGACGAUCAGUAGCUGGUCUGAGAGGACGACCAGCCACACUGGGACUGAGACACGGCCCAGACUCCUACGGGUGGCAG
RNAcentral lists this ribosomal RNA (321 nucleotides) under uncultured Pseudomonadota bacterium. Its description in RNAcentral is "bacterial SSU rRNA". It matches the Rfam family "Bacterial small subunit ribosomal RNA", at positions 29 to 351 of the family's 1533-position model. The record is from RNAcentral. Lineage: Bacteria; Pseudomonadati; Pseudomonadota.